GCUAAUACCGGAUACGACCUCCUUAGGCAUCUUCGGAGGUGGAAAGCGUAUACGGUCAAGGAUGGGCUCGCGGCCUAUCAGCUAGUUGGUGAGGUAACGGCCCACCAAGGCGACGACGGGUAGCCGGCCUUGAGAGGGCGACCGGCCACACUGGGACUGAGAUACGGCCCAGACUCCUACGGGAGGCAGCAGUGGGGAAUAUUGCACAAUGGGCGCAAGCCUGAUGCAGCAACGCCGCGUGCGGGAUGACGGCCUUCGGGUUGUAAACCGCUUUCAGCAGGGACGAAGCGCAAGUGACGGUACCUGAAGAAGAAGCAUCGGCCAACUACGUGCCAGCAGCCGAGGUGAUACGUAGGAUGCGAGCGUUGUCCGGAAUUAUUGGGCGUAAAGAGCUUGUAGGCGGUCAGUCGCGUCGGAAGUGAAAACUCAGGACUCAACCCUGAGCCUGCCAUCGAUACGGGCAGACUAGAGGAAGGUAGGGGAGAAUGGAAUUCCUGGUGGAGCGGUGGAAUGCGCAGAUAU
This 522-nucleotide ribosomal RNA is filed under the name uncultured bacterium. Its description in RNAcentral is "bacterial SSU rRNA". It matches the Rfam family "Bacterial small subunit ribosomal RNA", at positions 162 to 697 of the family's 1533-position model. The record is from RNAcentral.